RNAcentral lists this transfer RNA (68 nucleotides) under Gastrophysa janthina. RNAcentral describes it as "tRNA-Trp". Lineage: Eukaryota; Metazoa; Arthropoda; Insecta; Coleoptera; Chrysomelidae. The record is from RNAcentral.
AAGGAUUUAAGUUAAAGCAGCCAAACUUUUAGCCUUCAAAGCUAAAAAUAGAAAUUUUCUAAGCCUUA